This 587-nucleotide ribosomal RNA is filed under the name uncultured bacterium. RNAcentral describes it as "bacterial SSU rRNA". It matches the Rfam family "Bacterial small subunit ribosomal RNA", at positions 103 to 707 of the family's 1533-position model. The record is from RNAcentral.
CGGGUGAGUAACACGUGAGCAACCUGCCCCGAAGACCGGGAUAAGCCUGGGAAACCGGGUCUAAUACCGGAUACCCCCACCGGGCCGCAUGGCCUGGUGAGGAAAUGGAUUCCGCUUCGGGAGGGGCUCGCGGCCUAUCAGCUUGUUGGUGGGGUAACGGCCCACCAAGGCGUCGACGGGUAGCUGGUCUGAGAGGACGAUCAGCCACACUGGGACUGAGACACGGCCCAGACUCCUACGGGAGGCAGCAGUGGGGAAUCUUGCGCAAUGGGCGAAAGCCUGACGCAGCAACGCCGCGUGAGGGAUGAAGGCCUUCGGGUUGUAAACCUCUUUCAGCAGGGACGAUUGUGACGGUACCUGCAGAAGAAGCCCCGGCCAACUACGUGCCAGCAGCCGCGGUAAUACGUAGGGGGCGAGCGUUGUCCGGAUUCAUUGGGCGUAAAGAGCUCGUAGGCGGCUUAGCAAGUCGGGUGUAAAACCUCCAGGCUUAACCUGGAGCGGCCACCCGAUACUGCUAUGGCUAGAGUCCGGUAAGGGACCACUGAAUUCCUGGUGUAGCGGUGAAAUGCGCAGAUAUCAGGAGGAAC